Molecule: long non-coding RNA, 9637 nt
Organism: Passer domesticus (house sparrow)
Lineage: Eukaryota; Metazoa; Chordata; Aves; Passeriformes; Passeridae
Exons: 6
Source: RefSeq, a predicted model, not a curated record
GGCUGAGGCGGUGCCAGCGCCCGGGGCGCCGGGCUGCCGGAGCGGGCUCUGUGAGCUGAAAGGCACCAGAGGAUUUUCUGGGACAGGAUAAUAGACAGAGUGAGGACACUGUCACCUUGGUGUGAGGAAAGCUGGCUAAGCAGAAUCCAGUGACUCUGGGAGCACUUGUUGAGCUUGAUGCUCAUGCUGAGGAUGUUCCUGCAUCUCUGGAGUGUCUCAGCAGUCAUGCAGUUGUUUCCAACAGGAUUGUGCCAAAAAAAAGCAAAAAACUGCAAUGAGCAGAACAAUUUAAUGAUGGCCCUGAGGGUGAGAAAACUCUCUGGCUGAGCUGGAAAUGCAGGACAUCAACUUCACUGGAAUACACUUAUUCCAUCAGGAAUUUUAGCUUACCUAGCAGCCUUUACAUCCAGCUACAGAAAUAUGAAGAAACAGAACCUGAAUCCCAGCUGCCAGUGUGGAUUACACCAGUCAUCCCCAGGGAAUGUUUGGUGAGACCCUUUUUGAUGAUUUUAUCUAGGCAAGAAGCACUCCAGUAGAGUCCAGCAGCAACUGAAGAAAGCCACGAGACCAGCAAAGGCAGAGGUAGGCAGCCCCCAGAAAAUUCUCUGUUAAUUAAUAGUUCACAUAGCCCUCUUUGGCUUGGGCUACCUUCACUUGAAAAAAAAUUUACAUUUUGUCCCACAGUCAUCUUUGUGUCAGUAUUUUGUGCAUAAAUUGUAUGUACAUCCAUUUAACUGAUGAGGAACCAUAACUUUGAAAGGACUUAAUGCUAAUAAUAACUCAGCAAUAAUUACAGUAAUAAUAUUAAAAAUUAUCCGUUUGUUGUUAACUGAAUGGAAGAAAACAGAAAUAGAUUGAAACACAAGACUGAAAAGGAAACACAGCUCAAAUGGCAUAGCUUGCUCUCAUUCUUGAUCUUCUGUCAAAAGCUUUACACUUUUUAAUGAUGAUAGAUUACAAUUAGGUCUGAGAACGAUCACCAUGCCUGAAAUACAGGAAUGAUUCUCUUGAGUAGCUCUCUGCCAAGGGCUUGGUGACCUAGGUAAUUGGGAAAAAGCUAUAGAGAUUUUCCACAUCUUUGUUUCUACUUUGAAAAAAGAAUUUGAAGUAGUUUCUGCAAAUUCUUACACUGCAUUUCAAACCACCUGAAUGGACCUCACCUUAUUUUGUCUGAGGUGCUCACGGUAGUCAGAAAAAUAAUUAAUUAUCCUUCCAUCUUACUCUUCAUAUCUGACCAUAACCACUUCCAUGUCCAGGUAACACUUUUGCCAGUUAGAUUUUCAUCAUUUAAAUUAACAGUAAGAAAAAUUAUCACCAAUAUUCAGUGAAAUGACCCAGGAAUUCUUAGACUCUCAGAAAAAAAAAAAAGAUUGUGUAUUUUUUUCAUUGUAAAUAUCCAGGCUUUAGAAAUACUUUUUAAUUAAAGAAAUAGCAUAAAGUACGCAGAGAGGGUAAGAAUGGAUUUUUGGUUGGAAAUGCUAAUAAAUGAGUAUAAGAGACAUUAAAGGAACUAAACACUUAACCACAUUGCAGGAAAUAGCCUGAUUUUCAUUCUUGGCCUUUCUUUGGGCAUAAAAAUAAAUACAGCAAGUUGAAGACUUUAGUCCUUUGGGAAAUGAUCACCUGGAAAAUGAACAGAGAAAUGAUGACAUUGGAAAAAGAGACUGAGGGGGAGCUACUUCAUUAUGCAGGGUUAUAGCUGUCCCCACUCUGGAAGCUGCAAUCACAACAUAACAGCCGGGUUGGGCAUAGGCUAUUUGCAAACCAAGCAACACUAAUGCUUGACACUAAUUUUCUCAUUCUUGUUUUUCUGCCUUCAGCUGCAGCCUAGCUCAUAGUUACCUAGUAAUACAAUGUGAUUGUCAUUGAUGGCAUGUUAUCAUUGUAACCUUAAAGACUGGCACUAGAAUAGAGCUCUAACAAAGAGGGAGCUAAAAUGGAUGCUCUCUCUCCCACUCCCCCCCCCCCCCCCAUAAUUUCUUCACUUUCUAGUGAAGAACUUAAAAAUUACUCCACAUCUUCCAAAGAUAGUAAUCCUGUGCUGUACAAGAAGCUUCUUAGAGUAACAUGUAUUUAAAUGGGUUUUUUUAAAAAAGCUUUAAGCAUGUCAACCUCAUUUCUGUAACUUAAGAAAAAAUACUUCAUGGAUUGAUGUAUUCAGUUAAGGGAUAACUUACUCUCAAGAUAGGGAAUUCAUAAAUGCUUUGAAGAAUGUUGAAAUAUGUUUUUAGGAUCCCCAGCAUGAAGAUUUUCUUGCAGAGUGGAAAGACAAGUCAAAAGUUUCAAAAGCUGCUGUUCGUUCACUGCCUGAGACCUGACAAUGUAAUGUACAAAACUUUCACCUUACUGAGAAAGGUCUGUCUGCAUCUUAAAAACCAAAAAUAUUUGCAAGUAUGCAUGCACUUGUAUUCUACAACAAUCUCUCAUAGAGGAAAAUAGAAAUUAAUAAGAUUUUUUAAAGAACUUCAGGAAGUUUGAAAUUGUAAUGAAAAACUUUUAAAAACAGAAUAGUGGGACUUUAGCUUUUGUUGAUUCAGUUGCACACCAAAAUCUCCAGAGCUCUUUCUUGAAACUGUCUUACACACCUUGUGUCUACCCUUAUUCAGUACACCUGCUAUUUGUGCUGGAUGUGGUUGUCUGUGUCAGUUUGGUUUGAUCUAGAAAAACAACUUAGUGGUAAGCAGGAGAGUAGUAAGGCAGGUACUUAAGCAAUUGUUGCAGACACAGAGAUCCAUUUAGUUCCCUGGAAAGUGUUUUGAAGCAGAGCUGUUGUGAUUUGAGUCUAGGCAUAAGGUUUUAACACAGAUCACAGAAAGUACUCACAGUUGUGAAUCUUUAUUCAAAAACAAAAAGUCAGCUUGCUAAAAACCAGAAUAGAAGUAUUUGCUUAGACAUUUUCCAUACACUGUCAGGGUAGUGGAACUGCUCUUAGCUCCCGUCCUAGCCAUACCAAGAAAGCACACUGUGAGAGACAGGCCAUACCUGUCUGUACUCACUCCUCCCAGUCAGGAACACUUCUCUACAUCAUACACUCCCUCACACACCUGUUCAGCUUUGCAAUCACACUCAGACAGAGAGAGGAAAUCAAGAGUCACUUUUAGAGCCAGAGUCACAGCUCACUUGUGCGGGGCUGCUUUUGGCGGCAGCAGAUUCUCCAGGCUGCUGGGCUGAAGGCUCAUCCCCGAGAGGCAGCGGUGCCGGGAGCGAGGGUCUGGAGCCAAAGUAAUUCACCAGCCUCUGCCUCGUCGCUGCCACCUCUUCUUGAAAAGAGCUUAUGGCGCGGCUGCCAACUUUGCACUUGAAUCAAAGCAAGACAUUGAGCCUUUCAGCGGAGCAGUUUGACUGUGUCGUUCCGCCACGUUCCAACCCUCCCUCCUCAGGCUGCAUUCGGGUAUCAGUGUUUCAUGAUAGCAAUCGUACCCCGGUCAGCCUGGUGCACAGCCCUCCCAGCUAUCAGUGACAGUAUCCUUGGGGCUAAGUGUCCUCACCUGAGGCUGCUGCUUCUAAUUUUUUAUAUGCUUUAUCUAGAAAUAUGUUCAUAUUAUGGCCAAGACCCCUCUUGUAUCUUGAGACAUUGCUCUAAAUCAUUCACAGUUCAAGUUAGGUAACACCACUCUUAGUCCACCUUCUAAGAUAUCAUUGUGCCCCAUUAUCCUAUUUUUUUGUACUUUAAUCUGUUGCACAGUGACCUUAAAUGCUUAACCUUGACAGUCACCAGGUAUAUAUGUAAUACAGAACAUUAUUAGCAAGGCAGAGAUCUUAUUUGUGCAAACCCACCAACAAGUAAUAUGCAGAAUCUUUUACUGUUCCUCAUCAGGGAGCUUGGUUCACAUAAUUCUUACUAUCCAUAGGAUUAGGGCUCAUAGAUCAGCUGAUCUUGAUCAACUGAGCUGCUCAGUUGUGUGCUUUUCUACAUGUCAACACUAUGGGAUGAAACUCCCCAGAAGUGGGGAGGAGUAAAAUAUUUGAAAUGAGCUUAACAUUUUAAUUAGGCAGAUUUAUAUGUAAAACUGGAUAUGUGAAGCAAUAAUCUGGUCAAAUUUUGUCUUUUCACAUAUGUUGUUCAUCCCUCCUGUGAAUGAUAAAGCUGCUCAUUGUUGAAUUUUGUGCAUUGAUUAUUGCACCCUAUGUAUUUUUUCUUUGCUGUAAUGAGUUGUUGGAAAAACACUUCUAAAGGAAGCAGGUUUGCAUUCAAAAACCAGACAAUAACUUAAACUGAGAAGUGCUUAGGUGCAGAUUUCUUAGCUAAUAAUGCAUAUAAAUCAAUACUUCAUGUUCUAGCCUUAGACAAUCAUUCCUGGCUGAUGCUUGGAAAUCUUAGUAAAAGAAGUUGUUUAUAGUCUAGCUUAGAAUUCCAGAUGACAGUGGCUAACACUUACAAUGAAGGUCCUCAGCCGUGCCAUCUCCAGCAUGUAGUACUCCUCCAUUGUCAGCUCAUCAAAGUGCUUGGGAAGGGAUAAAAAGUCACAGGUGUGACGUUUGCUGUGUUCCUCCCUGCAAUAUCAACCCAGAAUAAGAACAGAUGUUAAACCCACAGAAGUUUCAUUUCAAGAGAGGAAGAGAUCUGUACAGGCAGGUCUCUUCAGUACUUGUGCUGUCUAUCAGCAGAAAUAAUAUCAUACAGAAAAGAUGAAAUAGGUUUUAGUGGAUCUCGGAUAAAAGCUAGUUGAACAAUUCCACAGUUCCUGGGCAAGAUAAGCUUCCAGUUUUGUGCACUGUCAUAGCGAAAAUCGACAGGGGCAUUAACUCAUUGUAAAAUUACUACAGAAAUUUGGAGAGAUACCUCUCAAGAGCAUUGGUACAUUUUGCUUACCAUGGGUCAUCAUUUGGCUCCCAGCCCACCAGUUCUAACAAGCAAAAGAAACAUUUUGCCACAUCUGGUUCAUUUGCAGUUGGACAGUGGAUGAAGCCAGCCUUUGCCAUCUGCAGGGGACAGUUUACAAGUUUAGAGCAUUAUCCCACACACACUACUCAUAUUUACUCAUACAUCCUGGCACUUUAGAAUCACAGCUAGUCAAGAUACCAAAAAUUAAGUUUGUUUCAGUAACCAAACAUCUCUUCAGGCAACUCUAGCAGUAUGACUCAUCUGAGAUUCAGGCUGGCAGUGUCAUGUGUGUGCCAAAGUAGAAGUCAGGUGGAUUUUUUAUUUAAAUAAUUCCCAUUUCUGAAUUUGAAGUAGUGAUCAUUCCACUAUAUCCUUCCUGCUGGAUCUGUACUUGUUUAAUGGAGGCUGCUUUCUCAUGAACAGAAAUUUGCAAUUAGAAAGACUAUGUAAUACAAGAAAUUAAUUUUUAAAUGACAAGAACAGAAAAAAAAAAAAAGGAACAAGAACAGUAAAUAUUAGAAUCUGUAGGCAGACUGUGGACUGAACACAGAAAAACCAGAAAAUCCCACUACAGUAUUUCUGAGCAGGGAACAGAGGAAAGCUGAGUAUUUAACUCAUCUUCAGGCUUAGUGGACUCCUCUUGAACCUGAAUACACUCAAUAAUGACUUCACAUUCAGGCAUGGCAUAUAUAAAUUAAGGCAGAGGCAAACCAACCAUUUUCAGACUUACAUUCUCUGGAGUGCACUUGCAGUUUUCCUGGAAGGGCCACUUGGUGAAGGUUUUUAAACGGGUCUCAUACUCAUACAUCUCCUUAAGGUCAGUUAAGAGCUUGGAAGCUGAGCUGAGCUCUUGCAGCAGAGUCUCCAUCUCUGAAGCCUGCAAUCAGUGAAAGGCAGAGCUUCCCUCCUACUCUCCCUUUUAAGGCCUUUGCUAAUUGGUGACACCUGGAGAGCAGGGGAAGGUCUAACAGAGCCUUAGUCCCUUCCUAACACAGGUGAGUUUAUGGGCAGGACAACCAAGGGAAAUGAAGCUGCUGGAAUUUCUUCCCCUUGUGUCACAGUCUCUGUCCUUGGUCACGUUAUAUAUUUUUUAACUGAAAGCACCUAUUACCAUUGCAGAUUUUACAUCUGAAAUGUCAAAACCUGCAAGUUUAAAACUCUAGUUACAAAUGCAGAAACUUUGCAUAUAAAGUUUAAAAGAAUACUAUCCUGAUUGCAAGGAAAUGGGUUGAAUUGACAUUGCUGUUUGAAUCCUUCAGUGUUUCUUGAAUUUCACAUUCAGAGAUUAAUUCUUAGGAUUGUCUUUGCAAAUAGUGUUGCAUUUCUUUAAAGAGGAGGUGGUUGUUUUAUAAUAUUGUAAGUACUCAGUUCUAUUUUAACAUAUUAUAGAGCAUAGCCAGAUGCUGGAUUAAAUAUUUUAAAGGUGUAUAAGCCAGAUGCUGGGUUAAAUAUUUUAAAGGUGUAUAUCUGCAAGGGUUUACAGUAUCAAAGCAUUAAGUUGUCAUUUUAUAAACUGUCUCUUAUUUUGGUAAAGAAUCCAGUUGAAUUCAGUAGAAGUUUAAACAUCAGUGUCUUCAAGAAUGCUGCAUGCAGCAGCUUUCUAAGCCAAAAUCUUAGCACCUCUGAAGGAUUUUGCAUUGUGAGACUUGAAAAUUUAAAUCUCUGAAAUACAGAUGGAGUAAGUGCAGAAAAUAAUCCAGCCCAUUAUUCUGUCUAGAUGUGGUGACAGAAAUGAGAUUAAAGAACAUUUGUAUAGGACUUCCAAUGUCAGCCCUUGGGGCAUUGCUUUUGCCUAGAUUUACAAAUGCCACAUCAUUGAAUCCUCUGGGACUGUAUGUCUAUUGUAUAUUCAGGAAUACUGUCCUUGAAAUUUAUAUUCAGAUAUUUAGAGUAACAUGUGUUACAUGAAAAUAGGAUACUUUAAUUUUUUUUUUUCCAGAUGAUACCAAUGGUGCAGGAAUUUAUCAUUCAUAACCUGGGCCCUCCAAGCACUGAUAUUAAUAGUUUCUCCUGGUGAUGACUCCACGGCAGCUGAUGAUCAGAUAUUUUAAUCUCUUUUUUACUGUAGUUGAAGUUUGUGUGUGUAUGUGUGUGCACAUGUGAGUGUAUUUGUAUGAAGCAAGGAACUUUGUUUAACUAAAAAUUGAAAUGCCAAACCAAACCCAAAACCUGUUUUUAACUGCCCAAAACCAGUAAAAUUGAUCUCAUGCUUCUCUUUAAAACAAGGCACUAAUUCAUGCAUGUGGAUUGUUUUCAGGAAUGAAUAAUUUGUCUGUUGUUUAAAAGAAACUGUAGAUUAAAUAUUUUGGCAUAUUUUAUCAUCUUGGGAUGUCAUGAUCUAUUUAACUAAUUAAUUUGUGUCAUUUCAAAUGGAAAAUGCAAAAAUGGAACAAACCCACAAUAGUUUAAAUGCUUCUUGUAAGCAGUCUGAUCUGAAAAUGCUAUUUUUUCAAAAAUGCUUUAUGUGUAAUAUAUAAUUUAAUCAAAAACACCACAGUAAUAUGGGACCUUGGAGUCCUGGGUGAUAUUUAUGCAUCAGAAUUGAAAUACAGUGCUUUGUGGUUUUUGUUUGGUUUUUUUUUUUUGCUUUGAUUGUUUUUAUGGCAUUUAAAACAAACAAAAAAUUCCCAACAGCCCAAAUCUGUUCUUAUGUAGAAAAGUACUGCUAGAAUACUAGAAAGUAAGAUUAUACAUGCAAUGACACAUCCUAAGAUGUAUUUCUUGCAUUUCCUGCCUAUAAUUCUGUCAGAAUUCUGUGCUGUUGAGAAUGACAGGUACAUUUCAAGUCUAUCUGUAAAGGUAUCCUUUUUUUUGGGAUAUAAAAUUUUAUAGUAGGUUGUCUACAUCCUUCAAGAGAAUACUGUUUGCAGUGUUCUGAAACUGUCAGAAUUUCAUAGGUCCAGAUUAAAUGGAUGGGUAGAUGGAGCUUUUCACUGGAAGACACACAAGAUGUGGCAUGACAUGAAAGAAAAGAUUUAAAUCAUAUUUUAAACGAUUAAAUCAGGUACAUUAAAUACCUGAUAUCUGAUCCUGACUUCUACAGUAAGGGCAGAAAACCUGUGAGUAAUGUUGCAACUUUGUAAAUCAGUUAAAGUCCACCCUGAUGAACGUGUAUAGGUGAUCUGGGGGAAGACAGGUUCAGAAAUGAAAUACUUGUCUUCCACUGCAAGGAAAGUAGUUUCAAUUACUGGCAAUAGUGCAGUACAUUUAUUUUUUAUUUUCUUGCUUGUUUCAUACUUCAUCAAUUGAAACUUGUUGCUAUGGCAAUAAUAAGACAGCUCUCUUGGUGGUUUUGGGUUUUGUUUUUUUUUUACAUAGGUAAGACUGGGAAAACCUAUCCACUGUUUUAAUAAUUGGAUGUGUGCUUGCAAUCACAUUUUACAUUAUUUUGCAUUAUUUUUCUAUAAUUAAUAUAGAUUAUCUAAAUGAGAUUGUGUAUUUAGCUAGGUGGUCUCAAUUGGAAACCAAAUCAAACAUUUCUACCUGUUGUCUUGGUAAGGAUUAAAAAAACCCUAAAAUAUUAUAUGAACAAUAUUUUAUAACACAGUGGUGUUAUAAAUGUAUAGGUGCAUGGUCUCAUACAUACAGUUGUAUGUAAUGUAUAUGAAUUAAAUCUACAUGAAUUAAUAGUUUUAAAAAAUAAAACUACUUUGAGGUUUUAAGAGACUCUGGAAAUGAUGCUCGUGACCAUUUAAAGACCUCCUGCUGAAGGCCUUUGUUUGUCAAGAAGAGGCUUCCCCCGACUCACAAGGUGUGUGAGCAGGAAGAAUCUGGGCUCUGAGCAGCUCAGCUCUGCUGUGCAGGACAGGAGAGAAAAAUGAACUGUUCCUGCACGGUGUAAAAUACCCUACUGCCUAAAAUACCCCUGCUGGCUGCCUGUGAUUUAUUCAUGGCAGGACAAGAGCAGCCCCUGGCAGAGCGAAAGCAGCCGGCAUGCAGAGAGGAGCUCUGGCAGAGGGCGUUUCCUUCCCUGUGUGCAGAGGUGGGCGCUUGCCAGAGCAGCCUCUCGGGAAUUUGCCAGCAAUACAUGGCACUUCUUCAUGCUCCAGCUUGCCAAGCAGCCCAGCAUGGCCAAAGUCUGUUCAAGGAGCUGCCAGCUGAUGCUCCUCACUGUGACUGGGGAAUGCAAUUAUGGUGCCAGAGGCACUGACACUGGGGUUGGCUCUGUAAGUGUUCUCAAGAUGUUAUUUUCCUCAGAAAUCAUUACAAACGUCAAUUAGGUACUUGAUCCAAGUGGUGUUUAUUUUGCCCCUCCUGAAGGAGAUGUAUGUCAGAACAACAGAAUUACCAACAGCUUUUUUUUUUUUAAUAGAUGCAUCUUUACUGAAACUGAUGUGUAUCAGUGUUUACUCAGUCACUGCUUUGGUGGCAGUGACUUCUAAGAAAGGGACAUUAUGUAAACACCACCCAAUUACUGUCAUCUGAAUUGACUCUGUGUGAGUCAGCACUCAGGGGACAGCAAGUGAGAAACACAGCCCAGUGAAGUUAAAGCAUUUUAAAGUAGGCAUAAGAGAAGUAGUUCAUUAUAUUUCCUGGAGGCAGAAAGGCCACAAUAAUCAGCUUAAUUUAUCACACAGGAGUUGUCUCAGUCAUCAGCAAAACACCUGCAGGCACUUGGCAGGCAGUGGGCUUGGAGAGAGGCUGCAGCCCCUUACACUUGGUAUCUCAUUUUAACUGAAUUUUCAUCAGCUCCCAGAAUUUUUCAGGAACUACAUCUUUGUAUCUUUUAUCUUAGUUAACACACUUUAUUAAUCACUAGGAAAUUCUGUAGUGGUUUUGAAGUACACCUUGUGGCCUCUUAUGGGCUGGUUG